This 394-nucleotide unclassified non-coding RNA is filed under the name soil metagenome. Its description in RNAcentral is "partial contains 5.8S ribosomal RNA, internal transcribed spacer 2, and large subunit ribosomal RNA". The stretch from base 1 to 120 matches the Rfam family "5.8S ribosomal RNA", at positions 35 to 154 of the family's 154-position model. The record is from RNAcentral.
GAUGAAGAACGUAGUGAAUUGCGAUAAGUAAUGUGAAUUGCAGAUACUCGUGAAUCAUUGAAUUUUUGAACGCACAUUGCGCCCUUGAGCAUUCUCAGGGGCAUGCCUGUUUGAGCGUCAUUUCCUUCUCAAAAGAUAAUUUAUUAUUUUUUGGUUGUGGGCGAUACUCAGGGUUAGCUUGAAAUUGGAGACUGUUUCAGUCUUUUUUAAUUCAACACUUAGCUUCUUUGGAGACGCUGUUCUCGCUGUGAUGUAUUUAUGGAUUUAUUCGUUUUACUUUACAAGGGAAAUGGUAACGUACCUUAGGCAAAGGGUUGCUUUUAAUAUUCAUCAAGUUUGACCUCAAAUCAGGUAGGAUUACCCGCUGAACUUAAGCAUAUCAAUAAGCGGAGGA